GACGAACGCUGGCGGCGUGCUUAACACAUGCAAGUCGAACGGAAAGGCCCUGCUUUUGUGGGGUGCUCGAGUGGCGAACGGGUGAGUAACGCGUGAGUAACCUGCCCUUGACUUUGGGAUAACUUCAGGAAACUGGGGCUAAUACCGGAUAGGAGCUCCUGCUGCAUGGUGGGGGUUGGAAAGUUUCGGCGGUUGGGGAUGGACUCGCGGCUUAUCAGCUUGUUGGUGGGGUAGUGGCUUACCAAGGCUUUGACGGGUAGCCGGCCUGAGAGGGUGACCGGCCACAUUGGGACUGAGAUACGGCCCAGACUCCUACGGGAGGCAGCAGUGGGGAAUAUUGCACAAUGGGCGGAAGCCUGAUGCAGCAACGCCGCGCGCGGGAUGACGGCCUUCGGGUUGUAAACCGCUUUCGCCUGUGACGAAGCGUGAGUGACGGUAAUGGGUAAAGAAGCACCGGCUAACUACGUG
This 468-nucleotide ribosomal RNA is filed under the name uncultured bacterium. Its description in RNAcentral is "partial 16S ribosomal RNA". It matches the Rfam family "Bacterial small subunit ribosomal RNA", at positions 28 to 507 of the family's 1533-position model. The record is from RNAcentral.